Molecule: ribosomal RNA, 787 nt
Filed under: uncultured bacterium
Lineage: Bacteria
Description: bacterial SSU rRNA
Rfam family: Bacterial small subunit ribosomal RNA
Source: RNAcentral
AGAGUUUGAUCCUGGCUCAGGACGAACGCUGGCGGCGUGCUUAACACAUGCAAGUCGAACGGUGACSAGGGGCUUGCUCCUCUGAUCAGUGGCGAACGGGUGAGUAACACGUGAGUAACCUGCCCUUCACUCUGGGAUAACACCGGGAAACCGGUGCUAAUACUGGAUACGACCUGAACAGGCAUCUGUAUCGGGUGGAAAGAUUUAUUGGUGGAGGAUGGACUCGCGGCCUAUCAGCUUGUUGGUGAGGUAAUGGCUCACCAAGGCGACGACGGGUAGCCGGCCUGAGAGGGCGAUCGGCCACACUGGGACUGAGACACGGCCCAGACUCCUACGGGAGGCAGCAGUGGGGAAUAUUGCACAAUGGGCGAAAGCCUGAUGCAGCGACGCCGCGUGAGGGAUGAAGGCCUUCGGGUUGUAAACCUCUUUCAGCAGGGAAGAAGCGAAAGUGACGGUACCUGCAGAAGAAGCACCGGCUAACUACGUGCCAGCAGCCGCGGUAAUACGUAGGGUGCAAGCGUUGUCCGGAAUUAUUGGGCGUAAAGAGCUUGUAGGCGGUUUGUCGCGUCUGCUGUGAAAUUUCGGGGCUCAACCCCGAACUUGCAGUGGGUACGGGCAGACUAGAGUGUGGUAGGGGAGACUGGAAUUCCUGGUGUAGCGGUGAAAUGCGCAGAUAUCAGGAGGAACACCGAUGGCGAAGGCAGGUCUCUGGGNCNCUACUGACGCUGAGAAGCGAAAGCAUGGGGAGCGAACAGGAUUAGAUACCCUGGUAGUCCAUGCCGUAAAC